Molecule: non-coding RNA, 149 nt
Filed under: Synechococcus sp.
Lineage: Bacteria; Bacillati; Cyanobacteriota; Cyanophyceae; Synechococcales; Synechococcaceae
Also listed under: 1 other name
Source: RNAcentral
CAUAAUCAGAUUCGAAACGGUUUCAGCGGGGAACAGCCGCUGAAGGCAACAGGGAAAGUGCCGUUCGAAUCGGCCGCUGUCCCGCAACUGUGAUUUGGCUUGUUUUCAAGUCGAUAAGUCAGGAUUCCUGCCGUUUUGCACAAUCCAAC